CUCCAACGUAAGCCAGCGCACAUCGAACUUGUUUACGGUAACCUGAGCUCCACAGCACCAAGUGAACUCUUUACGGAUAUACCUGCUUAAGACCUGGAUCCUGAAUCUCAUUCCCCCUGGCGAGCUGACAUCAUAACUCAGGAUAUAUUUCGUCCGUUCCGUUCCUGACUUUAUCCUCAAUAAACAACCUUUUAUUUUA
Molecule: long non-coding RNA, 199 nt
Organism: Girardinichthys multiradiatus
Lineage: Eukaryota; Metazoa; Chordata; Actinopteri; Cyprinodontiformes; Goodeidae
Exons: 2
Source: RefSeq, a predicted model, not a curated record